CNAUGCCCUUNGNGGCUCCUUGGUGAUUCAUGAUAACUUCUCGAAUCGCAUGGCCUUGUGCCGGCGAUGGUUCAUUCAAAUUUCUUCCCUAUCAACUUUCGAUGUUUGGGUAUUGGCCAAACAUGGUUGCAACGGGUAACGGAGGGUUAGGGCUCGACCCCGGAGAAGGAGCCUGAGAAACGGCUACUACAUCCAAGGAAGGCAGCAGGCGCGCAAAUUACCCAAUCCCGACACGGGGAGGUAGUGACAAUAAAUACUGAUACAGGGCUCUUUUGGGUCUUGUAAUUGGAAUGAGUACAAUUUAAAUCCCUUAACGAGGAACAAUUGGAGGGCAAGUCUGGUGCCAGCAGCCGCGGUAAUUCCAGCUCCAAUAGCGUAUAUUAAAGUUGUUGUGGUUAAAAAGCUCGUAGUUGAACCUUGGGCCUGGCUGGCCGGUCCGCCUCACCGCGUGUACUGGUCCGGCCGGGCCUUUCCCUCUGUGGAACCCCAUGCCCUUCACUGGGUGUGGCGGGGAAACAGGACUUUUACUUUGAAAAAAUUAGAGUGCUCCAGGCAGGCCUAUGCUCGAAUACAUUAGCAUGGAAUAAUAGAAUAGGACGUGUGGUUCUAUUUUGUUGGUUUCUAGGACCGCCGUAAUGAUUAAUAGGGACAGUCGGGGGCAUCAGUAUUCAAUUGUCAGAGGUGAAAUUCUUGGAUUUAUUGAANACUAACUACUGCGAAAGCAUUUGCCAAGGAUGUUUUUAUUAAUCAGGAACCAAAGUUANGGGGG
This 769-nucleotide ribosomal RNA is filed under the name cf. Myrothecium sp. 84/HC2. RNAcentral describes it as "SSU rRNA". It matches the Rfam family "Eukaryotic small subunit ribosomal RNA", at positions 223 to 998 of the family's 1831-position model. The record is from RNAcentral. Lineage: Eukaryota; Fungi; Ascomycota.